UACCAAAUCAAAGCUUUUAGCGAGAUAGCUGCGUUCAACAAUAAUGGCUUCAAUUUCUUCUUCUCCGAGGGCUGCUGCGGCCAUCCUUGUUGUCUUAGCCAUUGUUCUCAUUCCAACGCUGAUGUUGCCAUCUGAGGCAGCGAGACCAACCCGAGGUAUGAAACGCCUGAUUAAGAAUUACUGGAACAAAAACUUUGUCAAUGUAUUACUACAAUAAUUGUUCAAGAACAAAAUAAUUUGACUUGUUUCAUCAUCUGUUUCUGUAUAAUAAUUUGGUUCUGCAUGCAGAACUUCUGGCGCGACCCCCAAUCUGCCCUGCCUGCGUUUGUUGCGCACCACCGCCCUCCCCGAACAAAUGCUGCCCCUGCGUCUGUUCCACACCUGGGGGACCCCUUGUACCUGUUGCCGGAACUACUUCGCCAUGACUUCUUGAGGGCGCAAGUUUGUUUAAUUUGCUACGGAAUCCUGUAGCUGUGUAUGCACUUCUAGCUUAUCUUAUAAAUAAGUGUAUGAAUAAGAACUUCUCAGAUUAUGGAUAUCAUGUGGAAGUGACUUGCGUACUUUCCUAAUGAAUCAAGGGAUUUUGGUUAUCAGUUUGCUUAUACUUUUACUCUGCUUACCAUACUAGAGUUACCCAAAGCAGACAUUUUGUUUAACAGCAAAAGAGUUUGGGAUUAUUCUCAUCUGUUUAUCCUCGAAAAUCAGAUUAUACACAA
Molecule: long non-coding RNA, 716 nt
Filed under: Coffea arabica (coffee)
Lineage: Eukaryota; Viridiplantae; Streptophyta; Magnoliopsida; Gentianales; Rubiaceae
Description: long non-coding RNA (CARA_LNC003646)
Source: RNAcentral